AAUGAAGAACGUAGCGAAAUGCGAUAAGUAAUGUGAAUUGCAGAAUUCAGUGAAUCAUCGAGUCUUUGAACGCACAUUGCGCCCCCUGGUAUUCCGGGGGGCAUGCCUGUCCGAGCGUCAUUGCUGCCCUCAAGCACGGCUUGUGUGUUGGGCCCCGUCCUCCGAUCCCGGGGGACGGGCCCGAAAGGCAGCGGCGGCACCGCGUCCGGUCCUCGAGCGUAUGGGGCUUUGUCACCCGCUCUGUAGGCCCGGCCGGCGCUUGCCGAUCAACCCAAAUUUUUAUCCAGGUUGACCUCGGAUCAGGUAGGGAUACCCGCUGAACUUAAGCAUAUCAAUAAGCGGAGGA
RNAcentral lists this unclassified non-coding RNA (346 nucleotides) under soil metagenome. Its description in RNAcentral is "partial contains 5.8S ribosomal RNA, internal transcribed spacer 2, and large subunit ribosomal RNA". The stretch from base 2 to 120 matches the Rfam family "5.8S ribosomal RNA", at positions 36 to 154 of the family's 154-position model. The record is from RNAcentral.